AGGGGUUCUGGGAGCAAGAGUGGAAGCCAGCGACAAGAUGUGUCAGGCGGCCAGUGGAAGCGCCCAGGUUUAAUGUGGCCUUUCGCUCCUCAGGGAAUUUGAAAGGUCACUGGCAAGGCUGGUUAAAAACAAACCAGUGUCAGCGAACUCUGCCAUGACUCCUAGAGACCACAGGAAGGCUUGGGUAAGGCCUCUCACUCAUUCAACCAAACUUUCCUGCUGCUCUCAUCAAUACCUAUCGGAUUUAUGAUGAUUACCAUGUUGUAGGUGGAAGCAGUUACAGAAUUGUCAGGUGACAGGUGGCAGGUUGGAUUUGACGGGCAGGUCAUAGUUUGCUGACCUUACGUGAGAACAUGAAGAAGGCCUAUGAGGCUGUAGUAUGUCAAGUGAGGGCGUGAGGGUCAGAGGGGCAGGAACUGGGCCCUGGAGGGUCUUGCAAGUGAUUCUCAGAGCAAUGGGAGGCCACUGAAGGGCUCUAAUGUCAUUUCCAUUUUUCAAAGAUCACUCUCGCUGCUCUGUAAAGAGGGGGUUAUGGCAGCAAGAGCAGAAGUGAGAAGAUGUGUCAGGUGGCCAGUGGAAGUGCCCAGGUGAGAGGUGGAGGUGCCCGGAGCUUCAGUGUGGCAGUGAAGAUGGCUGUGGAAGCUGAAGGACACUCUGCUGGGGAAAAAAAGGACUUGGCAGUUAACAAUCAUCCAGGCUUCUCUUCUUUUUUUUCCCCCUUUAUGCUUUACUAUUUAAGCUACUGCAGAAAGACUUAAAAAUGAAAGAAGGUGUAUCCCCAAGAGAACUGGAAACCUACGCCCUCACAAAAACCUACACACAUGUUCACAGCAGCGUUAUUCAAGUAGCCAAAAAGUGGAAACAACGUGCUCAUCCACUGAUGAAUGAGCUUACAUAAAAUGUGGUAUAUCCAUACCAUCGCACAUAAAAAGGAAGAAGAUUCUGACACGCUACAAUGUGGAUGAACCUUGAAAACAUUAUGCAAACUAAAGAAUCCAGUUUCAAAGAUCACAUCCUAUAUAAUUCCAUUUGUAUGAAAUGUCCGGAGCAGGCAAAUCUAGAGAGACAAAGUAGAAGAGUGGCUGCCUUGGGCUGGAUGGAAAUGGGAUGUGAUACAGCCAGGACCAACGGAAUCAGGUGCAGCACCCACUGCCCAGACAAAAGUGAGGAAAAACUGUCACUGUGAACUAUGAGAACAUCAGGGCCUUUUUCGAAGACGGAUACAAUGAUGAUGAUGGUUUUAAGAAUAAAAAUAUUAACUUAUUGAAUGCUU
Molecule: long non-coding RNA, 1273 nt
Organism: Symphalangus syndactylus (siamang)
Lineage: Eukaryota; Metazoa; Chordata; Mammalia; Primates; Hylobatidae
Source: RefSeq, a predicted model, not a curated record